Molecule: long non-coding RNA, 702 nt
Filed under: Chlamydomonas reinhardtii
Lineage: Eukaryota; Viridiplantae; Chlorophyta; Chlorophyceae; Chlamydomonadales; Chlamydomonadaceae
Description: long non-coding RNA (CREI_LNC001023)
Source: RNAcentral
AAAAAUAGAUAAACCUUCAUCCUGGGACAGCUCCGACUAACCCCCAACUAACUCGUGUACGGCACUCCAACCCCCCUCAGCCGUACAGGAGGUAGCGCGGCAGUCGGCAGCUGCACGAGUGUGAGCAGGUAGUUGUACGGCGGCCCGGCUCGGAAGCUACCUGACUGUAGUGACGCACACUGGUCGUUGGCGGUUGUCGGCAGGCACGCGAGUGGGAGCUGGCAGUUGGGCGAACACGUGUGUGGGAAGCUGCGUCUGACCACGGUGGAACACGGCGGAGGCUGGCGGUUGGCGCGGCGUGUGAGUGGGAGUGCAUAGUCGUGCGCGCGCCGUCUAGGAAGCUGUGUGUGUGAGCUGCGUGUAAGCUCAGAGAGACGCAUGGGGCUGACCCGGUUUCCAUGAGCUGCCUCUGGGCGCACACGGUUUCAAACAGGGGUUAAUGACGAGUGUGGUGGGAACGAAUGCGUACGUAGACCAGAGCGGACGGCGGAGUGGGCUUGCAGGCGGCACGAGAGUAGGCAGUCAGUAGCGCAAGUUGCGAAUUCACAUGUCACCUCGUAACCGACGAUAAACGCUGUGGACGGUCGCGCCCAUGGCUGGCUGACAGAAAGCGGCUGCUGUAUUGGGAUGGCUGGGCUGGGCGACGGCGGCCGGGCGUUGCUUGGGACUACCAGAAAGGAUGCGCCCGAAACCAACCUGGAG